GAUGAACGCUGGCGGCGUGCCUAAUACAUGCAAGUCGGACGGAGGCAUCAGNGAUGGUGUCUUAGUGGCGAACGGGUGAGUAACGCGUUGGUGACCUGCCCCGAAGAGCGGGAUAACAGAUCGAAAGGUCUGCUAAUACCGCAUGAGCUCUCACGGGUUAGAGGGGUGAGAGGAAAGGCCGGAAGGCGCUUUGGGAGGGGCCUGCGUCCCAUCAGCUAGUUGGCGGGGUAAAAGCCCACCAAGGCGAUGACGGGUAGGGGGCCUGAGAGGGUGACCCCCCACAAUGGAACUGAAACACGGUCCAUACACCUACGGGUGGCAGCAGUAGGGAAUAUUGGGGAAUGGGCGAAAGCCUGACCCAGCAACGCCGCGUGCGCGAAGAAGGCCUUCGGGUUGUAAAGCGCUUUUCUCAGGGAUGAGGAAGGACAGUACCUGAGGAAGAAGUCUCGGCUAACUACGUGCCAGCAGCCGCGGUAACACGUAGGAGACGAGCGUUAUCCGGAUUUACUGGGUGUAAAGCGCGUGUAGGCGGCGAGGUAAGUUGGAUGUGAAAGCUCCCGGCUUAACUGGGAGAGGUCGUUCAAGACUGCCUGGCUAGAGUGCAGCAGAGGGGAGUGGAAUUCCGAGUGUAGCGGUAAAAUGCAUAGAUAUUCGGAAGAACACCAGUGGCGAAGGCGGCUCUCUGGGCUGCAACUGACGCUCAGACGCGAAAGCUAGGGGAGCGAACGGGAUUAGAGACCCCGGUAGUCCUAGCCGUAAACGAUGUGAACUAGGCGUAGGCGGGUUGAAAUCCGUCUGUGCCGGAGCAAACGCGAUAAGUUCACCACCUGGGGACUACGGCCGCAAGGUUAAAACUCAAAGGAAUUGACGGGGGCCCGCACAAGCAGCGGAGCGUGUGGUUUAAUUCGAUGCUACACGAAGAACCUUACCAGGGUUUGACAUGCAAGUGGUAGUGAAGCGAAAGCGGAGCGACCCUUCGGGGAGCUUGCACAGGUGUUGCAUGGCUGUCGUCAGCUCGUGUCGUGAGAUGUUCGGUUAAGUCCGCUAACGAGCGCAACCCAUGCCGUGUGUUACAAGUGUCACACGGGACUGCCGGUCUUAAGCCGGAGGAAGGUGUGGAUGACGCCAAGUCAGCAUGACCUAUAUAUCCUGGGCUACACACACGCUACAAUGGCCGGUACAAUGGGUCGCGAAACCGCGAGGUGGAGCCAAUCCAGAAAGCCGGUCUCAGUUCAGAUUGCAGUCUGCAACCCGACUGCAUGAAGACGGAGUUGCUAGUAACCGCAGGUCAAGCCAUACUGCGGUGAAUACGUUCCCGGGCCUUGUACACACCGCCCGUCACGUCAUGGGAGCUUGGUAACACCUGAAGCCGGUAUUCUAACCCGCGAGGGAGGGAGCCGUCGAGGGUGGGACUGGUGACUGGGACGA
This 1428-nucleotide ribosomal RNA is filed under the name Anaerolinea thermolimosa. RNAcentral describes it as "16S ribosomal RNA". It matches the Rfam family "Bacterial small subunit ribosomal RNA". Lineage: Bacteria; Bacillati; Chloroflexota; Anaerolineae; Anaerolineales; Anaerolineaceae. The record is from RNAcentral.